CAUGGAUGGAGUGUUUGUGUGAACUAAUAUAAAUUCAAAGUAAACAUCAUUACAUAAAAGGAGAUACCAUUGAGAAAAAUAAUGGUCUUGUUGAUGGAAGAAAAGUUUGGGAAACCCUGGAGUCCCUUGCAUCCAUUCCAGAACCUUGGUGGAGGCCAGGCUGGAGACUAGUCCGUUUCCUCACCCCCAUGGCAAUGCCCUUCAAGAAGGACCCUACGUCCCCGUUUCCCCCCAUACCCAGCCAGAGUUUAUUCCCUCUGAUCAGCAUGUGAAUCGUUUCCACAUCCUAAGCUCAUUCGGAGCUUUUGCAAUUUCCAAAGUAAAAAUUUUCUCCCCAGCUUUUUAUAAACUCUUUUCUUCAUUAAAACAAUGUCUGAGUAUGAAA
Molecule: long non-coding RNA, 385 nt
Organism: Myotis myotis
Lineage: Eukaryota; Metazoa; Chordata; Mammalia; Chiroptera; Vespertilionidae
Exons: 2
Source: RefSeq, a predicted model, not a curated record